GUCCUAGCCCUAAACGAUGAAUACUUGGUGUCUGGAGUUUUAUCCUCCGGGUGCCGUCGCUAACGUUUUAAGUAUUCCGCCUGGGGAGUACGCACGCAAGUGUGAAACUCAAAGGAAUUGACGGGGACCCGCACAAGCGGUGGAGCAUGUGGUUUAAUUCGACGCAACGCGAAGAACCUUACCUGGACUAGAAUGUGAGGGAAGGACUUCUAAUAGAGUCCGUCCGGGCAACCGGACCCAAAACAGGUGCUGCAUGGCUGUCGU
This 264-nucleotide ribosomal RNA is filed under the name uncultured bacterium. RNAcentral describes it as "partial 16S ribosomal RNA". It matches the Rfam family "Bacterial small subunit ribosomal RNA", at positions 793 to 1055 of the family's 1533-position model. The record is from RNAcentral.